GGAGAAAAAAACAAAACAGGGAGUUAUUGCCCACAUAUAAAAGAAAUUAAAAGGAUCAAAGCGAGGGAAUCACACUCACAUCAGGUCCCAAUUCUGCAAGUCCCGCGAUGCAGCCAUAACGUGUCGUCCACUGGGUUUUCUCAUCCAACCAACUCUGAGGAAACAGAAAAUGUAUGCAGGGCUUACCUGGUGGUGGAUUUUCUGGAAUAGAAGGCUCCACCCCCUCAAUGCUUAACCAGUGGGCUAUGGAUUAACAGACAAGUGUGACAAGUCUGACCUCUUCACUCAAUGCUACACAGCUCUCCUCCUGUAACUGACCCACUCCAACAGACUCUGCUAUGGCCUUCAUGGACUCCGUGGGCACGACGACCGAACAUUGCUUCUGCCGCCGCUCCUCUGCCAUGGCUGAAAAAA
This is a long non-coding RNA of Solea solea (common sole), 414 nucleotides long. RefSeq lists it as uncharacterized. NCBI's taxonomy places the organism in Eukaryota, Metazoa, Chordata, Actinopteri, Pleuronectiformes, Soleidae. The transcript is spliced from 3 exons. The record is from RefSeq and is a predicted model, not a curated record.